This 253-nucleotide ribosomal RNA is filed under the name uncultured bacterium. Its description in RNAcentral is "partial 16S ribosomal RNA". It matches the Rfam family "Bacterial small subunit ribosomal RNA", at positions 524 to 776 of the family's 1533-position model. The record is from RNAcentral.
UACGGAGGAUGCAAGCGUUAUCCGGAAUGAUUGGGCGUAAAGCGUCCGCAGGUGGUGUUGUAAGUCUGUUGUUAAAGCGUGCGGCUUAACCGCAUAAGGGCGAUGGAAACUACAAGACUAGAGUGCGUUAGGGGUAGAGGGAAUUCCUGGUGUAGCGGUGAAAUGCGUAGAGAUCAGGAAGAACACCGGUGGCGAAAGCGCUCUACUAUGCCGCAACUGACACUGAGGGACGAAAGCUAGGGGAGCGAAUGGG